Marivita geojedonensis is the source of this 74-nucleotide transfer RNA. It matches the Rfam family "tRNA". Rfam says of the family: Transfer RNA (tRNA) molecules are approximately 80 nucleotides in length. Their secondary structure includes four short double-helical elements and three loops (D, anti-codon, and T loops). The record is from Rfam. NCBI's taxonomy places the organism in Bacteria, Pseudomonadati, Pseudomonadota, Alphaproteobacteria, Rhodobacterales, Roseobacteraceae.
CGGGCUGUAGCGCAGCCUGGUAGCGCACCUGCUUCGGGAGCAGGGGGUCGGAGGUUCGAAUCCUCUCAGCCCGA